UUGGAUUUCUGUUAAUAAUUUAUAUAAUAUAUUUUGAUGAAUAUUUAUAUAAUAUUAACAUAAUUCAUAUUACUAUUUUUUUUUAGUAUAUGAAAUUUUACUUUGAGAAAAUUAGAGUGCUUAAAGCAGGCAUAUGCCUUGAAUACUCCAGCAUGGAAUAAUAUUAAAGAUUUUUAUCUUUUUUAUUGGUUCUAAGAUAAGAAUAAUGAUUAAUAGGGACAGUUGGGGGCAUUUGUAUUUAACAGUCAGAGGUGAAAUUCUUAGAUUUGUUAAAGACAAACUAAUGCGAAAGCAUUUGCCAAGGAUGUUUUCAUUAAUCAAGAACGAAAGUUAGGGGAUCGAAGACGAUCAGAUACCGUCGUAGUCUUAACCAUAAACUAUGCCAACUAGAGAUUGGAGGUUGUUCCUUACUCCUUC
This 417-nucleotide ribosomal RNA is filed under the name Cryptosporidium hominis. Its description in RNAcentral is "partial 18S small subunit ribosomal RNA". It matches the Rfam family "Eukaryotic small subunit ribosomal RNA", at positions 634 to 1081 of the family's 1831-position model. Lineage: Eukaryota; Apicomplexa; Conoidasida; Eucoccidiorida; Cryptosporidiidae. The record is from RNAcentral.